This 29-nucleotide non-coding RNA is filed under the name Mus musculus (house mouse). The record is from RNAcentral. Lineage: Eukaryota; Metazoa; Chordata; Mammalia; Rodentia; Muridae.
UAACAGUCAUGGUUUGGAUCUUAAAUGUC